Molecule: unclassified non-coding RNA, 238 nt
Filed under: uncultured fungus
Lineage: Eukaryota; Fungi
Description: partial contains 5.8S ribosomal RNA, internal transcribed spacer 2, and large subunit ribosomal RNA
Source: RNAcentral
AACGCACAUUGCGCCCCUUGGUAUUCCGGGGGGCAUGCCUGUUCGAGCGUCAUUAUAACCCUCAAGCCUAGCUUGGUGUUGGAGCCUGCCUCUGGGCAGCUCUUAAAAUCAGUGGCGGUGCCGUCUGGCUCUAAGCGUAGUAAUUUUUCUCGCUACAGAGUCCUGGCGGUUGCUUGCCAACAACCCCAAAUUUUCUAUGGUUGACCUCGGAUCAGGUAGGGAUACCCGCUGAACUUAA